CCUACGGGUGGCAGCAGUGAGGAAUAUUGGUCAAUGGGCGAGAGCCUGAACCAGCCAAGUCGCGUGAAGGAUGAAGGAUCUAUGGUUUGUAAACUUCUUUUAUAUGGGAAUAAAGUGAGGAACGUGUUCCUUUUUUUAUGUACCAUAUGAAUAAGCAUCGGCUAACUCCGUGCCAGCAGCCGCGGUAAUACGGAGGAUGCGAGCGUUAUCCGGAUUUAUUGGGUUUAACGGGUGCGUAGGUGGUUAAUUAAGUCAGCGGUGAAAGUUUGUGGCUCAACCAUAAAAUUGCCGUUGAUACUGGUAGGCUUGAGUACAGUUGAGGUAGGCGGAAUUCGUGGUGUAGCGGUGAAAUGCUUAGAGAUCACGAAGAACGCCGAUUGCGAAGGCAGCUUACUAAACUGCCACUGACAUUGAUGCUCGAAAGUGUGGGUAUCAAACAGGAUUAGAUACCCCUGUAGUC
RNAcentral lists this ribosomal RNA (460 nucleotides) under uncultured bacterium. Its description in RNAcentral is "partial 16S ribosomal RNA". It matches the Rfam family "Bacterial small subunit ribosomal RNA", at positions 338 to 795 of the family's 1533-position model. The record is from RNAcentral.